AUCGAUCUUGGCGAGGUUUAUAGCAAGAAAAAAAAAAAAGAAACUUGAAAUUUCUUUUUCUUUUUUUUGGCUAUAGCAAAACAAAAUAUAAUCACUUUUUUUAUCGAUCUGAAAUCAGGUGGGAACUACCCGCUGGAACUAAUAAAA
RNAcentral lists this ribosomal RNA (147 nucleotides) under Apophysomyces trapeziformis. RNAcentral's name for it is "partial 28S ribosomal RNA". Lineage: Eukaryota; Fungi; Mucoromycota; Mucoromycetes; Mucorales; Mucoraceae. The record is from RNAcentral.